AACCCAAUGUGAACGUUACCAAACUGUUGCCUCGGCGGGGUCACGCCCCGGGUGCGUCGCAGCCCCGGAACCAGGCGCCCGCCGGAGGAACCAACCAAACUCUUUCUGUAGUCCCCUCGCGGACGUAUUUCUUACAGCUCUGAGCAAAAAUUCAAAAUGAAUCAAAACUUUCAACAACGGAUCUCUUGGUUCUGGCAUCGAUGAAGAACGCAGCGAAAUGCGAUAAGUAAUGUGAAUUGCAGAAUUCAGUGAAUCAUCGAAUCUUUGAACGCACAUUGCGCCCGCCAGUAUUCUGGCGGGCAUGCCUGUCCGAGCGUCAUUUCAACCCUCGAACCCCUCCGGGGGAUCGGCGUUGGGGAUCGGGACCCCUCACACGGGUGCCGGCCCCUAAAUACAGUGGCGGUCUCGCCGCAGCCUCUCCUGCGCAGUAGUUUGCACAACUCGCACCGGGAGCGCGGCGCGUCCACGUCCGUAAAACACCCAACUUUCUGAAAUGUUGACCUCGGAUCAGGUAGGAAUACCCGCUGAACUUAA
Molecule: ribosomal RNA, 534 nt
Filed under: Trichoderma asperellum
Lineage: Eukaryota; Fungi; Ascomycota; Sordariomycetes; Hypocreales; Hypocreaceae
Description: eukaryotic LSU rRNA
Rfam family: 5.8S ribosomal RNA (bases 166-319)
Source: RNAcentral